GCCAUAUCUCUGCCCUCAAAACCCUUCCCCUGCUCCAAUGGCAACGAAAUGAAGGGGCUUCAACGACGCCACACCGGUAUGGAGAUCGUGAAAGGGGUGCGUCGGGGUUGCUGAACGUGCGAGCAACGACGUGCGUGGAAACGGUUGCUGCGGCGCCAAAGCUAGGAAGAAGACUGCUGCUAGGGUUUGUUGUUCUUUGAAAAAUUUUGGGCUGUACAGGGUUAUUGAUUUGGGCUUUAUUGGGUUAGGUUAAAUUUAGUUUUAGGCUAAUGUAAUUGGGUUACAAUUUGGGCUUGUUAUUUGUUUUUUUAACCAGGCCAAAAUUGGCCUAUUACAUUACCCAUGAUUCUUAUCUAGUGAAUACUACUCUAAAAAAGAAGCAGUGUUCUUAUCUCCCAAUAGAUAAAUGAUUUUUAAUAUACCAACCACUUUGUAGAGACCUUUAAUUGGUGCUUCAAGAUAUAUAUAACUAACUAUAUUCCUAAUC
This is a long non-coding RNA of Gossypium raimondii (Peruvian cotton), 487 nucleotides long. RefSeq lists it as uncharacterized. The transcript is spliced from 2 exons. Lineage: Eukaryota; Viridiplantae; Streptophyta; Magnoliopsida; Malvales; Malvaceae. The record is from RefSeq and is a predicted model, not a curated record.